Molecule: non-coding RNA, 72 nt
Organism: Halocaridina rubra (Hawaiian volcano shrimp)
Lineage: Eukaryota; Metazoa; Arthropoda; Malacostraca; Decapoda; Atyidae
Source: the annotation of a GenBank genome assembly
GGCACUGUAGCCGAGCGGUAAUGCUAGCGACUUUGAUUUGUCAAGUCGAGGGUUCAUGGCCUGCCAGUGUCU